This 97-nucleotide non-coding RNA is filed under the name unclassified sequences. RNAcentral's name for it is "wcaG RNA". It matches the Rfam family "wcaG RNA". The record is from RNAcentral.
GUAGGUUUCCAAUUUCCUAAAAGAAUUGGUGGUGCGGAUGGGAUAACUCCCGCCUGGUUUCUUGCCUCCAGUCAAAGGGCAAGUGGCGAGCCGAGCA